AGAGUUUGAUCCUGGCUCAGAUUGAACGCUGGCGGCAGGCCUAACACAUGCAAGUCGAGCGGUAACAUUUCUAGCUUGCUAGAAGAUGACGAGCGGCGGACGGGUGAGUAAUGCUUGGGAACAUGCCUUGAGGUGGGGGACAACCAUUGGAAACGAUGGCUAAUACCGCAUAAUGUCUACGGACCAAAGGGGGCUUCGGCUCUCGCCUUUAGAUUGGCCCAAGUGGGAUUAGCUAGUUGGUGAGGUAAAGGCUCACCAAGGCGACGAUCCCUAGCUGGUUUGAGAGGAUGAUCAGCCACACUGGAACUGAGACACGGUCCAGACUCCUACGGGAGGCAGCAGUGGGGAAUAUUGCACAAUGGGCGCAAGCCUGAUGCAGCCAUGCCGCGUGUGUGAAGAAGGCCUUCGGGUUGUAAAGCACUUUCAGUCAGGAGGAAAGGUUAGUAGUUAAUACCUGCUAGCUGUGACGUUACUGACAGAAGAAGCACCGGCUAACUCCGUGCCAGCAGCCGCGGUAAUAC
This 521-nucleotide ribosomal RNA is filed under the name Pseudoalteromonas piscicida. RNAcentral's name for it is "bacterial SSU rRNA". It matches the Rfam family "Bacterial small subunit ribosomal RNA", at positions 8 to 526 of the family's 1533-position model. RNAcentral also lists the same sequence under 2 other names. The record is from RNAcentral. Lineage: Bacteria; Pseudomonadati; Pseudomonadota; Gammaproteobacteria; Alteromonadales; Pseudoalteromonadaceae.